UUUAACUCAAAAUUUCAGCAUUUACUUGUCUCAGUUUUAUCUAAUUCUUGGUAUAUACUAUUGUGUGGUUGUAAGUAAACAUGAAGUUCCAAACCUCAAUAUACUGUUUUCGGAUGUUAAUUUGUUAUCAAAAGAGUGGUCAGAAUUUUUAAGUACAAUUCUUUUGUUUUGCAUGCUGGAAUUGGUAAACAUAAAUGAAAGAUUGACAAAGGCCGAACCUCCCUGUUCAACAUUCCAGGAGGCCAGAGCACUCUGAGGCAUCACCCAAACUAACCCAAACAUACCAACACCAUUGACCAUAUAUCAUGCACAAAACAACAAUGGAGGAACAGUUUAGAAGCAAAGAGAAUGGGACAUCAGCCUAUGUGAGGCCAAGUGGAAGGGGACUAGGUGAGAGUGGCAGGAUGGGACAACAUCAACUUCAAGAAAGGAAGAAGGAAAGCAAAAAGGUGUUCAGUUUAAGUCUGGAUGGGAUUUAGUAAUUGUUAUGUGUUUUGUGAUGUAUUCAGGGAACAAUCCAUAACACCAAAUUCUCUGUAUAUGAAAUUGACAACUGAACAAUGUUAAUAGGUCACAGCUUUUGUUUUUGAUCAGUAGGUACAUGUUCAUGGUGAAACUAAAUUCAGUUAGUUAAAUUUAUGUUUUAAAAUUCAUGUUCAUGAUUAUGCCCAA
Molecule: long non-coding RNA, 672 nt
Organism: Quercus robur (English oak)
Lineage: Eukaryota; Viridiplantae; Streptophyta; Magnoliopsida; Fagales; Fagaceae
Exons: 2
Source: RefSeq, a predicted model, not a curated record